GACGUAGGAGGCGAGCGUUGUCCGGAGUGACUGGGCGUACAGCGCGCGCAGGCGGUUCCAUGCGCCUCGGGUGAAAGGCGUCAGCUCAACUGGCGAGCGGCCCGGGGGACGGUGGGACUGGAGGGCGGGAGAGGUCGGUGGAAUUCCCGGUGUAGUGGUGAAAUGCGUAGAGAUCGGGAGGAACACCCGCGGCGAAGGCGGCCGACUGGGCCGACCCUGACGCUGAGGCGCGAAGGCGCGGGGAGCGAACGGG
This 253-nucleotide ribosomal RNA is filed under the name uncultured bacterium. RNAcentral describes it as "partial 16S ribosomal RNA". It matches the Rfam family "Bacterial small subunit ribosomal RNA", at positions 524 to 776 of the family's 1533-position model. The record is from RNAcentral.